RNAcentral lists this ribosomal RNA (253 nucleotides) under uncultured bacterium. RNAcentral's name for it is "partial 16S ribosomal RNA". It matches the Rfam family "Bacterial small subunit ribosomal RNA", at positions 524 to 776 of the family's 1533-position model. The record is from RNAcentral.
UACGUAGGGGGCAAGCGUUGUCCGGAAUUAUUGGGCGUAAAGAGCUCGUAGGCGGUUUGUUGCGUCGGCCGUGAAAACCUGCAGCUUAACUGUGGGCCUGCGGCCGAUACGGGCAGACUUGAGUUCGGUAGGGGAGACUGGAAUUCCUGGUGUAGCGGUGAAAUGCGCAGAUAUCAGGAGGAACACCGGUGGCGAAGGCGGGUCUCUGGGCCGAUACUGACGCUGAGGAGCGAAAGCCAGGGGAGCAAACGGG